This 454-nucleotide ribosomal RNA is filed under the name uncultured bacterium. RNAcentral's name for it is "partial 16S ribosomal RNA". It matches the Rfam family "Bacterial small subunit ribosomal RNA", at positions 28 to 507 of the family's 1533-position model. The record is from RNAcentral.
GAUGAACGCUGACAGAAUGCUUAACACAUGCAAGUCCACUUGAACUUCGGUUUGGGUGGCGGACGGGUGAGUAACGCGUAAAGAACUUGCCUCACAGAUAGGGACAACAUUUGGAAACGAAUGCUAAUACCUGAUAUUAUGAUUUUAGGGCAUCCUAGGAUUAUGAAAGCUAUAUGCGCUGUGAGAGAGCUUUGCGUCCCAUUAGCUAGUUGGAGAGGUAACGGCUCACCAAGGCGAUGAUGGGUAGCCGGCCUGAGAGGGUGAUCGGCCACAAGGGGACGGAGACACGGCCCUUACUCCUACGGGAGGCAGCAGUGGGGAAUAUUGGACAAUGGACCAAGAGUCUGAUCCAGCAAUUCUGUGUGCACGAUGAAGUUUUUCGGAAUGUAAAGUGCUUUCAGUUGGGAAGAAAAAAAUGACGGUACCAACAGAAGAAGUGACGGCUAAAUACGUG